GAUGAACGCUAGCGGCAGGCUUAACACAUGCAAGUCGAGGGGUAACAGGAUUUAGUUUACUAGAUUGCUGACGACCGGCGCACGGGUGAGUAACGCGUAUACAAUUUGCCUUUUACUGAAGAAUAGCCCAGAGAAAUUUGGAUUAAUGCUUCAUAGUAUUAUUUGGUCACCUGACUAAGUAAUUAAAGCUCCGGCGGUAAAAGAUGAGUAUGCGUCCUAUUAGCUAGAUGGUAAGGUAACGGCUUACCAUGGCGACGAUAGGUAGGGGUCCUGAGAGGGAGAUCCCCCACACUGGUACUGAGACACGGACCAGACUCCUACGGGAGGCAGCAGUGAGGAAUAUUGGGCAAUGGAGGCAACUCUGACCCAGCCAUGCCGCGUGCAGGAAGACGGCCCUAUGGGUUGUAAACUGCUUUUAUACAGGAAGAAACUUAUCCACGUGUGGAUAACUGACGGUACUGUAAGAAUAAGGACCGGCUAACUCCGUGCCAGCAGCCGCGGUAAUACGGAGGGUCCAAGCGUUAUCCGGAAUCAUUGGGUUUAAAGGGUCCGUAGGCGGGCAAUUAAGUCAGAGGUGAAAUCCCACAGCUCAACUGUGGAACUGCCUUUGAUACUGGUUGUCUUGAGUUACAGUGA
RNAcentral lists this ribosomal RNA (636 nucleotides) under Flavobacteriaceae bacterium JAM-BA0401. Its description in RNAcentral is "bacterial SSU rRNA". It matches the Rfam family "Bacterial small subunit ribosomal RNA", at positions 28 to 655 of the family's 1533-position model. Lineage: Bacteria; Pseudomonadati; Bacteroidota; Flavobacteriia; Flavobacteriales; Flavobacteriaceae. The record is from RNAcentral.